UAGCAUAUCAAUAAGCGGAGGAAAAGAAACUAACAAGGAUUCCCUUAGUAACUGCGAGUGAAGAGGGAAAAGCUCAAAUUUAAAAUCUGGCAGUGUUUCACUGUCCGAGUUGUAACCUAGAGAAGUGUAACCUGCGCUGGACCGUGUAUAAGUCUCCUGGAAUGGAGCAUCACUGAGGGUGAGAAUCCCGUCUUUGACACGGACCACCAGUGCAUUGUGGUUGUGCUCUCAACGAGUCGAGUUGUUUGGGAAUGCAGCUCUAAAUGGGUGGUAAAUUCCAUCUAAAGCUAAAUAUUGGCGAGAGACCGAUAGCGAACAAGUACCGUGAGGGAAAGAUGAAAAGAACUUUGGAAAGAGAGUUAAACAGUAUGUGAAAUUGUUGAAAGGGAAACGUUUGAAGUCAGUCGCGUCGGUUGGGGAUCAGCCUGACAUUGUUGGGUGUACUUCCUGGUUGACGGGCCAACAUCAGUUUUGAUUGCCAGAAAAAGGCCAAAGGAAUGUGGCACCUUUGGGUGUGUUAUAGCCCUUGGUCGUAUAUGGUGGUUGGGACUGAGGAAAGCAGCGUGCCGAAAGGCCGGGUUUCGACCACGUUCACGCUGAGGAUGUUGGCAUAAUGGCUUUAAGCGACCCGUCUUGAAACACGGACCAAGGAGUCUAACAUGCAUGCGAGUGUUUGGGUGGAAAACCCUUACGCGUAAUGAAAGUGAAAGUUGAGAUCCCUGUCGUGGGGAGCAUCGACGCCCGGACCAGAACUUUUGGGACGGAUCUGCGGUAGAGCACGUAUGUUGGGACCCGAAAGAUGGUGAACUAUGCCUGAAUAGGGUGAAGCCAGAGGAAACUCUGGUGGAGGCUCGUAGCGAUUCUGACGUGCAAAUCGAUCGUCAAAUUUGGGUAUAGGGGCGAAAGACUAAUCGAACCAUCUAGUAGCUGGUUCCUGCCGAA
RNAcentral lists this ribosomal RNA (942 nucleotides) under Amanita flavorubens. Its description in RNAcentral is "partial 28S ribosomal RNA". It matches the Rfam family "Eukaryotic large subunit ribosomal RNA", at positions 36 to 965 of the family's 3401-position model. Lineage: Eukaryota; Fungi; Basidiomycota; Agaricomycetes; Agaricales; Amanitaceae. The record is from RNAcentral.